Long non-coding RNA from Triticum dicoccoides, 507 nucleotides. RefSeq lists it as uncharacterized. Lineage: Eukaryota; Viridiplantae; Streptophyta; Magnoliopsida; Poales; Poaceae. The record is from RefSeq and is a predicted model, not a curated record. The transcript has 3 exons.
AGUUCCUUUUUGACGGACGGCCUACGCGCACAGGGCUGGUCGACUACGAGAAGGACAACAAGGCCGCCGCCAAGCCAGCCGCCGGGCAUGCAGCCCCAAGAAGGGCUACAUUGGAAUCCACGGCUCCGGCUUCAGGGACAUUGUGCUCAAGGCCAGCCAGGACUGCGCCUUCGAGCACCCAAAGGACUGAUAAGGUCGUUAAUGCCGCCGCCAAGCUCGCCACUGGGCAUGCAACCCCCAACGAGGGCUACGACGGAAUCCACAACUUAGGCUUCAGGGACUUUUUGCUCAAGCCUGAGCUACUCCGGGCCAUUCAAGACUGCAGCUUCGAGCACCCAUCAGAAGAAGUUAGUUUGAAUGAUUAGCACGUACAACGCUCUGCCAUUAAUUGCCAGCCCUUAGAUUUCAGGUUUCAAUCCACAUGAGCUAGGCCGCUAGGAAUAAUUUGAAAAUGGUAACCCUUAAUCCCACUGCCUACUAUGCUCCAACUAGAGCUACCUUGUGUUC